UAUGUGAUCGUCUCUCGCAUAUCAAUAAGCGGAGGAAAAGAAACUAACAAGGAUUCCCCUAGUAACGGCGAGUGAAGCGGGAAGAGCCCAAAUUUGAAAUCUUAAAGGGUUUCCCUUUACGAAUUGUAGUUUAAAGAAGUGUUUUCUGUUGAGGUUUUGGUAAAAGUUCUUUGGAAUAGGACAUCAUAGAGGGUGAGAAUCCCGUAUUUGACCUUUACUUUCAACUUUGUGAUACACUUUCAAAGAGUCGGAUUGUUUGGGAAUGCAGUCCAAAAUGGGUGGUAAAUUUCAUCUAAAGCUAAAUAUUGGCGAGAGACCGAUAGCGAACAAGUACCGUGAGGGAAAGAUGAAAAGAACUUUGAAAAGAGAGUUAAACAGUACGUGAAAUUGUCAAAAGGGAAGCGUUUGACACCAGUGUUGUUUUUCUGAAAAUCAAUUAAAGAACUGUUUAUGCUAAGCUGUUUAGACUUUAUCAGCUAACUGUUUAGUUUUGAGCUUUUCUUUAAUGCACUUUUCAGUUAACAAGUCAACAUCAAUUUCUUUUGCUGUAAAAAAGCUUGAGGAAGGUGGCUUGAGAUUCGUCUUAAGUGUUUAUAGCCUCUUGCCUAUGCAGUCGGAGAGAUUGAGGUCUGCAGCGUAGAUCCUUCGGGGCUAAAUGCAUUUGUGCUAAGUUAUAGCAUUUUAUAGACAACUUGUUGACUAUGAUUUGUCUUGUAGCUUACUCGCUUAUGUUAUUUUACCUACGCUUAGGAUGUUGACACACGCGCGUGCUCG
RNAcentral lists this ribosomal RNA (774 nucleotides) under uncultured Neocallimastigales. Its description in RNAcentral is "partial large subunit ribosomal RNA". It matches the Rfam family "Eukaryotic large subunit ribosomal RNA", at positions 24 to 643 of the family's 3401-position model. Lineage: Eukaryota; Fungi; Neocallimastigomycota; Neocallimastigomycetes; Neocallimastigales. The record is from RNAcentral.